AAGGACUGUGAUAUCACUGUUGUCAUAUUUGCUAUACUAAGUAAACAGGAUAAAGUCAGCAUUAUUUGAAGCCUAAAGGUCUGGGAAGUGCAAAGACUAGAGAGUAUGGCAGAGAAAAGGUUUAAAGGAUCUCCAUUUGGAGCACAGUCCGCAAGGUUUGAUGUGUCUGGUGUGCAGCCAGCAAGGAAGACGCAUACUUACACAGAGAUGCUCUAUGGCAAGAAGAGAACUUCUGAACUGGAGAGAAAGCUGGGACCGGGCACUUAUAAUGCAGACUCUGGCGAUUUCAGCGCUAGAGCCGUGCAGGAGCGAGCAAAGGGACCUGGCUGGAAGAGGGCACAGGAGAUGGCACAGUUUUCCAAGACUCCCCCUGUCCUGUUCUGUGCUGCCUG
This 392-nucleotide long non-coding RNA is filed under the name Scleropages formosus (Asian bonytongue). RNAcentral's name for it is "lncRNA (ENSSFOG00015029223.1)". The record is from RNAcentral. Lineage: Eukaryota; Metazoa; Chordata; Actinopteri; Osteoglossiformes; Osteoglossidae.